RNAcentral lists this transfer RNA (54 nucleotides) under Litomosoides sigmodontis. RNAcentral describes it as "tRNA-Asn". The record is from RNAcentral. Lineage: Eukaryota; Metazoa; Nematoda; Chromadorea; Rhabditida; Onchocercidae.
GUAGAUUUAGGUUAAGUUAAAACUUUUAAUUUUCAAAAUUAAAGAUAAUUUUCU